RNAcentral lists this transfer RNA (72 nucleotides) under Brassica napus (rape). It matches the Rfam family "tRNA". From Rfam's summary of the family: Transfer RNA (tRNA) molecules are approximately 80 nucleotides in length. Their secondary structure includes four short double-helical elements and three loops (D, anti-codon, and T loops). The record is from Rfam by way of RNAcentral. Lineage: Eukaryota; Viridiplantae; Streptophyta; Magnoliopsida; Brassicales; Brassicaceae.
GUGGCUGUAGUUUAUUCGUAAAAAUUCCACAUUGUGGCCGUGGAGACCUAGGCUCGAAUCCCAGCAGCCACA